AUACUUACCUGGCAGGGGAGAUACCAUGAUCACGAAGGUGGUUUUCCCAGGGCGAGGCUUAUCCAUUGCACUCCGGAUGUGCUGACCCCUGCGAUUUCCCCAAAUGUGGGAAACUCGACUGCAUAAUUUGUGGUGACCCCCUGAAGAAGGGGA
The sequence is a small nuclear RNA, 153 nucleotides long. Its record names the gene U1. It matches the Rfam family "U1 spliceosomal RNA". Rfam says of the family: U1 is a small nuclear RNA (snRNA) component of the spliceosome (involved in pre-mRNA splicing). Its 5' end forms complementary base pairs with the 5' splice junction, thus defining the 5' donor site of an intron. The record is from Ensembl.